Molecule: ribosomal RNA, 253 nt
Filed under: uncultured bacterium
Lineage: Bacteria
Description: partial 16S ribosomal RNA
Rfam family: Bacterial small subunit ribosomal RNA
Source: RNAcentral
UACGAGGGGGGCGAGCGUUGUUCGGAUUUAUUGGGUUUAAAGGGUGCGUAGGCGGGAUAGUAAGUCAGAGGUGAAAUCCCACAGCUUAACUGUGGAACUGCCUUUGAUACUGCUAACCUUGAGUACAGAUGAUGUGGGCGGAAUAUGACAUGUAGCGGUGAAAUGCUUAGAUAUGUCAUAGAACACCGAUUGCGAAGGCAGCUCACAAAACUGUAACUGACGCUGAGGCACGAAAGCAUGGGGAUCGAACAGG